UACACGACCGUACCGCAAACCGACACUGGUGCGCGAGAUGAGUAUUCUAAGGCGCUUGAGAGAACUCAGGAGAAGGAACUCGGCAAAUUGACACCGUAACUUCGGAAGAAGGUGUGCCUUUAGUAGGUGAACCAUUUACUUGGGGAGCCCAAUGAGGUUGCAAAAAAUCGGUGGCUGCGACUGUUUAAUAAAAACACAGCACUCUGCAAACACGAAAGUGGACGUAUAGGGUGUGACGCCUGCCCGGUGCUGGAAGAUUAAAUGAUGGGGUGCAAGCUCUUGAUUGAAGUCCCAGUAAACGGCGGCCGUAACAAUAACGGUCCUAAGGUAGCGAAAUUCCUUGUCGGGUAAGUUCCGACCUGCACGAAUGGCGUAACGAUGGCCACACUGUCUCCUCCUGAGACUCAGCGAAGUUGAAAUGUUUGUGAUGAUGCAAUCUCCCCGCGGAAAGACGGAAAGACCCCAUGAACCUUUACUGCAGCUUUGUAUUGGACUUUGAACAGAUCUGUGUAGGAUAGGUGGGAGGCUUUGAAGUGUGGUCGCUAGAUCGCAUGGAGCCAACGUUGAAAUACCACCCUGGUGUGUUUGAGGUUCUAACCUAGGCCCGUAAUCCGGGUCGGGGACAGUGCAUGGUAGGCUGUUUGACUGGGGCGGUCUCCUCCCAAAGCGUAACGGAGGAGUUCGAAGGUACGCUAGGUACGGUCGGACAUCGUGCUAAUAGUGCAAUGGCAUAAGCGUGCUUAACUGCGAGACUGACAAGUCGAGCAGAUGCGAAAGCAGGACAUAGUGGUCCGGUGGUUCUGUAUGGAAGGGCCAUCGCUCAACGGAUAAAAGGUACUCUGGGAUAACAGGCUGAUACCGCCCAAGAGUUCAUAUCGACGGCGGUGUUUGGCACCUCGAUGUCGGCUCAUCUCAUCCUGGGGCUGUAGCCGGUCCCAAGGGUAUGGCUGUUCGCCAUUUAAAGAGGUACGUGAGCUGGGUUUAAAACGUCGUGAGACAGUUUGGUCCCUAUCUUCCGUGGGCGCUGCAGAUUUGAGGAAGCCUGCUCCUAGUACGAGAGGACCGGAGAGGACACACCUCUGGUGUAUCGGUUGUCACGCCAGUGGCAUUGCCGAGUAGCUAUGUGUGGAAGAGAUAACCGCUGAAAGCAUCUAAGCGGGAAACUCGUUUCAAGAUGAGAUCUGCCGGGGCCUUGAGCCCCCUAAAGAGUCGUUCAAGACCAGGACGUUGAUAGGUCAGGUGUGGAAGCGCAGUAAUGCGUUAAGCUAACUGAUACUAAUUGCUCGUGCGGCUUGACC
This 1298-nucleotide ribosomal RNA is filed under the name metagenome. RNAcentral's name for it is "bacterial LSU rRNA". It matches the Rfam family "Bacterial large subunit ribosomal RNA", at positions 1635 to 2925 of the family's 2925-position model. The record is from RNAcentral.